Molecule: ribosomal RNA, 779 nt
Filed under: uncultured bacterium
Lineage: Bacteria
Description: bacterial SSU rRNA
Rfam family: Bacterial small subunit ribosomal RNA
Source: RNAcentral
AGAGUUUGAUCCUGGCUCAGAACGAACGUUGGCGGCGUGGAUUAGGCAUGCACGUCGAACGAAUCCCCUUUGGGUAACUGAGGGGGGAAGUGGCGAAAGGGGCAGUAAGGCAUGGGUAACCUACCCCGGGGACUGGGAUAGCUAUUCUAACGAGUAGGUAAUACCGGGCGAGGUAACGAGGGGGCAUCCUCUUGUUACGAGAUGAAUUUCGCCUUGGGAGGGGCUCAUGUAGUAUUAGCUAGUUGGUAGGGUAACGGCCUACCAAGGCUGAGAUGCUUAGCGGGUGUGAGAGCACGACCCGCGCCACUGGCACUGAGACACUGGCCAGACUCCUACGGGAGGCUGCAGUCGAGGAUCUUCGGCAAUGGGCGCAAGCCUGACCGAGCGACGCCGCGUGGGCGAUGAAGGCCUUCGGGUUGUAAAGCCCUUUAGUGGGAGAGGAAAGCGCAAGCUUGACCGACCCCAAGAAUAAGCACGGGCUAAGUUCGUGCCAGCAGCCGCGGUAAGACGAACCGUGCGAACGUUGUUCGGAAUCACUGGGCUUAAAGGGCGCGUAGGCGGCUUGCCAAGUCCGGGGUGAAAUCCUCCAGCUUAACUGGAGAAGUGCCUUGGAAACUGGCGAGCUCGAGGGAGGCAGGGGUCGUGGGAACUUCCGGUGGAGCGGUGAAAUGCGUUGAUAUCGGAAGGAACGCCGGUGGCGAAAGCGCACGACUGGUCCUCUUCUGACGCUGAGGCGCGAAAGCCAGGGGAGCAAACGGGAUUAGAUACCCCGGUAGUCC